CCUACGGGGCGCAGCAGUGAGGAAUAUUGGUCAAUGGCCGGAAGGCUGAACCAGCCAUGCCGCGUGAAGGUCAGUGCCCUAUGGGCGUUAAACUUCUUUUGUGCGGGAGCAAUAAUGGUCACGUGUGGCCAGACGAGAGUACCGUACGAAUAAGCAUCGGCUAACUCCGUGCCAGCAGCCGCGGUAAUACGGGGGAUGCACGCGUUAUCCGGAUUUAUUGGGGUUAAAGGGUGCGUAGGCUGUGAGGUAAGUCAGCGGUGAAAUGCCCCCGCUCAACGGGGUGAAGUGCCAUUGAUACUGGCUUGCUGGAGUGCGGAUGCGGUGGGAGGAAUGUGUGGUGUAGCGGUGAAAUGCAUAGAUAUCACACAGAACACCGAUUGCGAAGGCAUCUCACGAAUCCGCGAUUGACGCUGAUGCACGAAAGCGUGGGUAUCAAACAGGAUUAGAUACCCCAGUAGUC
This 460-nucleotide ribosomal RNA is filed under the name uncultured bacterium. RNAcentral's name for it is "partial 16S ribosomal RNA". It matches the Rfam family "Bacterial small subunit ribosomal RNA", at positions 338 to 795 of the family's 1533-position model. The record is from RNAcentral.